GUUUGUUUCUUUGAGUAUUUCUUGCCUGGUGGGGGUUGUGUUUUAGGUUACUUUUUGAAGGCUUAGGGCUUUGAAAGGUUUAGGGACGAAAUUGAUCGGCUUUUGAGUUCAACAACCAAAAUGACCAAAGGUGUUUGCUUAUCCUUUGACCUCCUUGCAGAGUACUGAGAGGCAUGUUAAUCCUUGCAUGAUUAAAUGAACUUAGAAAUUCAAUAACUCAAAACCAUGUACUCAUACAAUUACAAAACUAUUUACAAUUAUAAAUUGUCAAGAGCUCGGUGCUCUGUAAAUUUUUGUUCCAAAUGCUUGUACUCUUUUUUGGUUUUCAGCAAGGGUAACAUUCAAGAAAAAGGCUGCUCCCAAUUAUUUCCUUUA
Dioscorea cayenensis subsp. rotundata (Guinea yam) is the source of this 375-nucleotide long non-coding RNA. RefSeq lists it as uncharacterized. Lineage: Eukaryota; Viridiplantae; Streptophyta; Magnoliopsida; Dioscoreales; Dioscoreaceae. The record is from RefSeq and is a predicted model, not a curated record. The transcript has 3 exons.